This 497-nucleotide ribosomal RNA is filed under the name uncultured bacterium. Its description in RNAcentral is "partial 16S ribosomal RNA". It matches the Rfam family "Bacterial small subunit ribosomal RNA", at positions 28 to 507 of the family's 1533-position model. The record is from RNAcentral.
GACGAACGCUGGCGGCGUGCCUAAUACAUGCAAGUUGAGCGCUGAAGGUUGGUACUUGUACCAAUUGGAUGAGCAGCGAACGGGUGAGUAACGCGUGGGGAAUCUGCUUUUGAGUGGGGGACAACAUCUGGAAACGAAUGCUAAUACUGCAUAAAAACUUUAAACACAAGAUUCAAGUUUGAAAGAUGCAUUUGCAUCACUCAAAGAUGAUCCCUCGUUGUAUUAGCUAGUUGGUGAGGUAAAGGCCCACCAAGGCGAAGAUACAUAGCCGACCUGAGAGGGUGAUCGGCCACCACGGGACUGGGGCACGGCCCCAACUCCCACGGGAGGCAACAGUAGGGGAUCAUCGGCAAUGGACGGAAGUCUGACCCAACAAAGCCGCGUUGGUGGAAAAGGUUUUCGGGUCGUAAAACUCUUUUGGUAGGGAAGGACGUUGGUGAGAGUGGAAAGCUCAUCAAGUGACGGUACCUACCCAGAAAGGGACGGCUAACUACGUG